RNAcentral lists this unclassified non-coding RNA (224 nucleotides) under Hevea brasiliensis (rubber tree). Lineage: Eukaryota; Viridiplantae; Streptophyta; Magnoliopsida; Malpighiales; Euphorbiaceae. The record is from RNAcentral.
ACCGUCUCCAACGUUGGUUUCGCAACGAAGGGGAUUUCUAGAACCGCAAGGACAUAUCCUUUUCUUCUCUGUUCCUUUGAUUCCAGGUUACAAUAUAACUUUGUAACGACUACACCAAUUUAUCCCAUAAAUCGGUAAAUUUUAUAUAAAAUGAGUGUGGUUGGAUUUGAUUUUGGCAAUGAGAGCUGCAUUGUGGCUGUUGCACGGCAAAGAGGGAUUGAUGU